GAUGAACGCUGGCGGCGUGCCUAAUACAUGCAAGUCGAGCGAACGGACGAGAAGCUUGCUUCUCUGAUGUUAGCGGCGGACGGGUGAGUAACACGUGGAUAACCUACCUAUAAGACUGGGAUAACUUCGGGAAACCGGAGCUAAUACCGGAUGAUAUAUUGAACCGCAUGGUUCAAAAGUGAAAGACGGUCUUGCUGUCACUUAUAGAUGGAUCCGCGCUGCAUUAGCUAGUUGGUAAGGUAACGGCUUACCAAGGCAACGAUGCAUAGCCGACCUGAGAGGGUGAUCGGCCACACUGGAACUGAGACACGGUCCAGACUCCUACGGGAGGCAGCAGUAGGGAAUCUUCCGCAAUGGGCGAAAGCCUGACGGAGCAACGCCGCGUGAGUGAUGAAGGUCUUCGGAUCGUAAAACUCUGUUAUUAGGGAAGAACAUAUGUGUAAGUAACUGUGCACAUCUUGACGGUACCUAAUCAGAAAGCCACGGCUAACUACAUG
Molecule: ribosomal RNA, 497 nt
Filed under: uncultured bacterium
Lineage: Bacteria
Description: partial 16S ribosomal RNA
Rfam family: Bacterial small subunit ribosomal RNA
Source: RNAcentral